This 75-nucleotide transfer RNA is filed under the name Pseudomyrmex veneficus. Its description in RNAcentral is "tRNA-Val". Lineage: Eukaryota; Metazoa; Arthropoda; Insecta; Hymenoptera; Formicidae. The record is from RNAcentral.
AAAAUUUUAGUUUAAUAUGAAAAAUGAUCUACUUACAAUAGAUUGAUUAUUAUUAUAUAAAGUAAUAAAAUUUUU